This 314-nucleotide ribosomal RNA is filed under the name Klebsiella pneumoniae. RNAcentral describes it as "partial 23S ribosomal RNA". It matches the Rfam family "Bacterial large subunit ribosomal RNA", at positions 419 to 737 of the family's 2925-position model. Lineage: Bacteria; Pseudomonadati; Pseudomonadota; Gammaproteobacteria; Enterobacterales; Enterobacteriaceae. The record is from RNAcentral. RNAcentral also lists the same sequence under 1 other name.
GGGACACGUGGUAUCCUGUCUGAAUAUGGGGGGACCAUCCUCCAAGGCUAAAUACUCCUGACUGACCGAUAGUGAACCAGUACCGUGAGGGAAAGGCGAAAAGAACCCCGGCGAGGGGAGUGAAAAAGAACCUGAAACCGUGUACGUACAAGCAGUGGGAGCACCUUCGGGUGUGACUGCGUACCUUUUGUAUAAUGGGUCAGCGACUUAUAUUCUGUAGCAAGGUUAACCGUAUAGGGGAGCCGCAGGGAAACCGAGUCUUAACUGGGCGUUAAGUUGCAGGGUAUAGACCCGAAACCCGGUGAUCUAGCCAU